Molecule: ribosomal RNA, 440 nt
Filed under: uncultured bacterium
Lineage: Bacteria
Description: bacterial SSU rRNA
Rfam family: Bacterial small subunit ribosomal RNA
Source: RNAcentral
CCUACGGGAGGCAGCAGUGGGGAAUAUUGCACAAUGGGGGAAACCCUGAUGCAGCGACGCCGCGUGAGCGAUGAAGGCCUUCGGGUCGUAAAGCUCUGUCCUAAGGGAAGAAUACUGACGGUACCUUAGGAGGAAGCCCCGGCUAACUACGUGCCAGCAGCCGCGGUAAUACGUAGGGGGCAAGCGUUAUCCGGAAUCACUGGGCGUAAAGGGUGCGUAGGCGGCUAAGUAAGCCAGGGGUGAAAGGCUACGGCUCAACCGUAGUAAGCCUUUGGAACUACUUAGCUUGAGUGCGGGAGAGGAGAGUGGAAUUCCCAGUGUAGCGGUGAAAUGCGUAGAUAUUGGGAGGAACACCAGUUGCGAAGGCGGCUCUCUGGACUGUAACUGACGCUGAGGCACGAAAGCGUGGGGAGCGAACAAGAUUAGAUACCCCUGUAGUC